GUUAAUGUAGCUUAAAUUAAUA
This 22-nucleotide transfer RNA is filed under the name Talpa aquitania. RNAcentral describes it as "partial tRNA-Phe". Lineage: Eukaryota; Metazoa; Chordata; Mammalia; Eulipotyphla; Talpidae. The record is from RNAcentral.